Molecule: ribosomal RNA, 347 nt
Filed under: Oxyrrhis marina
Lineage: Eukaryota; Dinophyceae; Oxyrrhinales; Oxyrrhinaceae
Description: partial Eukaryotic large subunit ribosomal RNA
Rfam family: Eukaryotic large subunit ribosomal RNA
Source: RNAcentral
CCUUAGGAUAGCUGCAACCGGUUAAGAGUUUUAUCAGGUAAAGCGAAUGAUUAGAGGAUUCUGGGUUGAAAUGACUUGGACCUAUUCUCAAACUUUAAAUGGGCAAGACACAAUUCUGCAUUGCGAGUAUUGUGGCGAAAUGAAGUCUUCGUGUGGGCCAUUUUUGGUAAGCAGAACUGGCGAUGAGGGAUGAACCUAUUGUCGAGCUACUGUGUUUCACACCAUGAGCAUCAGAUGCCAGAAAGGGUGUUGGUUCAUCUUAACAGCAGGACAGUGGUCAUGGAAGUCGAAAUCUGCUAAGGAGUGUGUAACAACUCACCUGCCGAAUGAAGCAGCCCCGAAAAUGG